AGCUCCUGAUUGUUCUCUUUUUAAAAACGUGUCCAUGUUUUAAGAUUUUCUACAAUUUGCAUGUCUUUGUUAAAUUUAUCAUUAGAACUAACCUGUGGGUUUUUUAAGAGAAAAGAUAUCAUCAAGCCUCAGGAACGUGAAAGAGAUUUUUCUCAGCCUGAGAGGUGGCAACCCCAGAGGAUUAUGAAGGGAUUCCUAGAAGCUAGAGAGCCAUUUGCACAACUGCCACUGGAUUAUUAAAUUGCAAACUCCAGCCUGGGUGAGGAAGACAGCUCGGCUCCACUGCUCUGACGCCUCCUCCUGCGCCUUCUUUCCUGACAGUUCAGAAGCUGUUGCUAUGAGCCUGAGCCGCUGUGUGUGUUGGCAGCUGUAACGAGGUGGACCAUGGUGUGUGUGUGUGUGUGUGUGUGUGUGUGUGUGUCAGUGACAUGGAGCACCAGGCUACCCUGUGUGCCCAAAGAACUGCAACCCUCCAGCCUAAUAGUCCACUUCUUAGAAAUAAAACCAAUUUAAAUUAAACCAACCUCAUCUUUGUUUGUGUAUCAAAUAGGAAAGAAAUUAUUUGUUGACACCCAGUGUUUGAGAGGAUACAACAAAAAAAGCAUAGGAUAUGAAAUAAAACCAUUGACCUGAAAUUCAAGUGGCAAUAAGAUUCAGGGCCAUAGAUUACUUAGUCUUUGAUCCAAUAAUCUUAUCUCUGGUCAUUUACAGAAAAGAAAAAAAUAAAGAAGAAGCAGCAGCUAUAUGCCUCAAGAUACUCGUUCCCAGAUUAUACCAAACACCAUAAAAUUGGAAACAACAGAGAGUUCCACAAAAGAAGAAGAACUGCUUUAAAGCUAGAGCACAUUUGGAAUGAUACUAUAAGGAAAAGCACUACAAAGAAAUGCUUAUGAUGUAACAUUUUAAAAUCAGAGCAUUAAAAUGUAUACUGUUUGUCAUUAUGAAUAUAGUUAUCUAAAACACAUGCAGAAGAGUUCCCAUUGUGACUCACAGGGUUAAGAACCCGACUAGUUUCCAGGAGGAUGUGGGUUCGAGCCCUAGCCUCGCUCAGUGGGUUAAGGAUCCGGCAUUGCUGUGACCUGUGGUGUAGGUUGGCAGCUGCAGCUCCGAUUCGACCCCUAGCCUGGGAACUUCCAUAUGCCACACACAACACCUAUAAUAUGCAGUGGUGGAAAGGCUAUCCCUGGAGUCAAACUGUCUGAGUUCCCAUGCCUGGUUCUCCUGGGCAGUUUACUUAGCCUCUGUCUUCUCAUCUGUAAAAUGGAAGAUCUUAAAAGUAAGUGAGCUCUGUAAAAAAAUUUUAAUGGUUCACAUCUCCCAGAGUGAGCUGGAUGGUAAGGUCUCCACCACAAACCUUUGUGGAGAAACAUACUGCACUCUAAGCUGUGGAAGAGGCCAAAGUCAAAGGUACAGGCAAAGCUGCCAGUAGGGGUAGAAUCCUAGUCAACACAUUAGAGAAGCAAGUCCAAAGACUUCACCUACCCCAGGGAAAGGAUGAGACUCUGCCAGAGAGCAGCAGAAUGGACAAACUGAGAGAAGCAAAGUGGGUGAUCUUGAGGCAAGCCCCAACACAGAUUUUUUUUUCCUGUAUGUUUGUCUAUCUAUCUAUAAUAUAUCUGCGUAUUUUAAACUUUUGGACAAUUUCAAAGCUGUCCUAAGUAGAAAGAUAUAACAAUGCACUCAUUACCCAGGGUCAACAAAAUGACUGUUUCAUCUAUUACCACAUCUACACCCCCUCCCUGGAUAAUUCUGUAAUAAUUUUAUCUGCGCAUCUGUAGAUACUUUGGCAUAUACCACUAAAAUAUACAGGCUCUUUUAUUUAGUAUGUGCACUACAUGAUUAUCAUAGCUAAAAAGCUGACAACAGUUCCCAAGGAUGCUGUUUGAGGACUCAUCCCACAGAGAGGUCAGCGGGAGACCUGGUGCAUUAAACAGCUGGGGGCAGCCAGGAGCCCAGGUCCAUCCAUCCGACGUCACCCCUCCCCACACUGCAGAGCGGGCAGCCCUGAGAACCUCCCAAGCUGUCAUCCACCUGGUGGGAGGCUGGCAGGUCUGGCACAGGGCUUUGCACUAUGUAAGUACUCAAAGACCAAAGGCAGGGCUGGACUCCGCAGGAAACUUCAAACAGACCCCAAACGAACCGCCUAAGAGGAUGCUGUCAGGGGCAGUUCUCAAGCAGAGUCCACACGGCCAGGUGAUCACUCAAGAGGGAGGAGAGAGGAGAAUGAAAAGGCUUUGUCCCCCACCACUCACUCAACCACGACUCCACUGACAACCUCCUUCCCUACUGGGCUUCUAGAACAAGAUUGUGGGAGGAAACCUUGCCGCCGCCAAACAAAGCUUCUGCUGGAGAGUCUCUUCUGCUAGUCGGGCAGGCACCUGUGCCAAGGUGUGCAGAGGUGGGAGAGCACAGGACAGCGAGCCCGAGACCCACCUCCACCUGACCUCACCAGCCACGUCCCCUCACGCAUCACCCGCAAAGUGAGGACAACACUGGUCUUUGCAGGUCGGAGGUGAACUUGGCUGUGGGACACGACAGCCCAGGCUGGGGAGUGAGUGCCUCUGCAUUGAUAGCAUCCAAAUACAUCUACCAAACUCAUGAACUGCCAUACUGAGAUGCUUACAAGAUAUUACUUUUCAAGAAGUUUGGGAAAAUGUAUUAUCACAUUUCCGUGUCCUGCAGCACAUUCAUUUACAUAGCUUGCCCUCAGGCGGUCCUGAUGACCUAGUUCUAAGCCUGUGGAAUAAGCUACCCUCUGGCAAGCACGUUUCAGGCCAGCGAUGCAGUUUCUGCAGUGUGGGCAAUGACACUCUUCAGCAAAGGAGCGACAUCUAAGGAUUAUGAGCACGAUGUAGCUGCAGGUAAGGGGACAGAGUGACAAGCAUCCCAGAUCCUGGGCACGUUUGGUGGCCCUAAGGAUGGGAUUCUUCCUCCAUAUGUAUCUUUCUUUCAUUGUUUUAUCUUGGGGAAAUUAAACUUAGAAUCAUUUUGAAGUGUGAUGCAUUGUGACUCCAUCUGCAUAAAAUCAGGGCUCAGAGCACUGGUCUCCAGAGAAAACGUUGUGUGACAUUAUUUGCUGUGAUUCAGCAGUGCACAUCAAAGAGAAAAGACGGCCCUUCUUGGGGUGGGGGGGAGGCAGAAAGGGAAAGAAUGAGCAAGCCGGUGAGAGAGCCAGGAGUCCACGGGCUGGGGCAGCGCUGAGGUCCAGGGAGGAGAGUGUGUGUGUCUUUUGCCGAAACACAACUGAGCUCAGCUCAGACAAACAAUAACCUUGGAUAUUUCUGAGUGUCUUUCCCCUUUUCGCUCUCCCCGGCAGAGGGAGGGGAUUUUCUGGAUCUUUCCUCCUCCCCAGGAGGGCCACUCUCUGCUCCCCCAGGUCAUGGGCGGUGAUUUUGCCUGAUGAAGUAGCCGCUGCUUCCCAGAUCUCCAGAACAAAAUCUGGCUCUUGGCACGAAAAUGGACACUCCCACCCCCGUUCCAAAAACAGGAAUGAAACGUUUGCCUGGCCCUUGUCAGCCCAGCAUUCUGACUGAGUGAAUGUCUUUACUCCUCUGUUGCCAUGGAGACGUGGAAAUGGGAGCCGCCAGAUCCUGCGCGCGCAGGUGAAGCCGCAGAAGACGGGCAGUUGCUUUGAGCUGACCGCAUCCUCUGCUCCUCCGACUUUAAAAUUCAGGCUGGGGAGGGCUCCCGUUCCACACCCACCACCCUCGCAGACCCGCUCAGCCUAGCGGAGACCAGAUCACCCCAGCCCGUCCUAAAUCCCUCAUCCUCUUUCUCCCAACACGUCCUCACGCACACUCCACUGCAUCUGACUGCUGUUAAUUAGGGGUUUGGGGAUGAGCUCCCAGCUCCCUGAGAGCU
RNAcentral lists this long non-coding RNA (3861 nucleotides) under Sus scrofa (pig). RNAcentral describes it as "lncRNA (ENSSSCG00050003675.1)". Lineage: Eukaryota; Metazoa; Chordata; Mammalia; Artiodactyla; Suidae. The record is from RNAcentral.